Anas platyrhynchos (mallard) is the source of this 785-nucleotide non-coding RNA. The record is from RefSeq and is a predicted model, not a curated record. NCBI's taxonomy places the organism in Eukaryota, Metazoa, Chordata, Aves, Anseriformes, Anatidae.
GGAGGUCCCUGAGCCCCGCCGCAGCCUCGGGCAUCUCGCCCCGUGCCCCGGCCCCUCCGUCACUGCAGGGUGCUCGGGGGCACAGCGGGCAAGGGGAACGUGUCUGCUCUCUGCUUGCUUCCAGGUGACGAUGCGCUCGGCAGCGCUUCCCCAGCUCCUCAGCUGGGUCCUGGAGUGGAGCUCCAGGGGCAGCCCAGCGGCCGUGCUGUUCCAGCUGCCCCGUGGAAUCCUGCUCCUGAGCCUGGGUGGCACCCCACAGGUGAUUUGUCCGGGACAUCCGAGCAUGGUCCUGUCCUCGUGCCCCAGGGCGAUCCCCCAAGUAAGUCAGCGGGAGGGAGGAGCGAGCAUUGCCCUUGUUGUUUGCUGCCCGCGUGCAAUGGACCUUCAGCCUUCCUUGGCCUCAGCCGCGCAGGAGAGCAGAGAGGGAAGGGCUCAGGCUCGGUGACACGCCUGGGGCGCUUUGCCUUGCCAAGCUGUCUUUGCCAGCCGCUCCGCCCCCAUGCGUGCUGCAGAGCCAGCGGGCACGGUGGGCUUGAGUUUCGAGCCUGGGCUGAGCUCUGGGGAGGCCCUUCUCUGGGCAGCUGCACGCACGCUUCGUUCGUUUUGUCCCGGCACGCUGGCACUGCAGGCCCCUGCUGCCUGUUUGCAAGAGGCUCCUGGGCGGGAGGGAGAGCCCAGGGCCGUGCAGCAAUCCCCUGUGGGAGCUGCGCGAUGGGAAGAAGCAUCCCGCCCUGUUUGGUGGGAGCUGCUCUGUUCUGUGUUUGCUUGCAGGUGUGGCUGUAGGC